This 29-nucleotide non-coding RNA is filed under the name Homo sapiens (human). Lineage: Eukaryota; Metazoa; Chordata; Mammalia; Primates; Hominidae. The record is from RNAcentral.
UACUCAUCCUAAUGGCUGGUUUUGGCUGC